Molecule: ribosomal RNA, 497 nt
Filed under: uncultured bacterium
Lineage: Bacteria
Description: partial 16S ribosomal RNA
Rfam family: Bacterial small subunit ribosomal RNA
Source: RNAcentral
GAUGAACGCUGGCGGCGUGCCUAAUACAUGCAAGUCGAGCGAACAGACGAGGAGCUUGCUCCUCUGACGUUAGCGGCGGACGGGUGAGUAACACGUGGAUAACCUACCUAUAAGACUGGGAUAACUUCGGGAAACCGGAGCUAAUACCGGAUAAUAUAUUGAACCGCAUGGUUCAAUAGUGAAAGACGGUUUUGCUGUCACUUAUAGAUGGAUCCCCGCCGCAUUAGCUAGUUGGUAAGGUAACGGCUUACCAAGGCGACGAUGCGUAGCCGACCUGAGAGGGUGAUAGGCCACACUGGAAAUGAGAAACGGUCCAGAAUCCUAAGGGAGGCAGCAGUAGGGAAUCUUCCGCAAUGGGCGAAAGCCUGACGGAGCAACGCCGCGUGAGUGAUGAAGGUCUUCGGAUCGUAAAACUCUGUUAUUAGGGAAGAACAAAUGUGUAAGUAACUAUGCACGUCUUGACGGUACCUAAUCAGAAAGCCACGGCUAACUACGUG